Molecule: ribosomal RNA, 464 nt
Filed under: uncultured bacterium
Lineage: Bacteria
Description: partial 16S ribosomal RNA
Rfam family: Bacterial small subunit ribosomal RNA
Source: RNAcentral
AUGAACGCUGGCGGCGUGCUUAACACAUGCCGGUCGAACGGAAAGGCCCAAGCUUGCUUGGGUACUCGAGUGGCGAACGGGUGAGUAACACGUGGGUGAUCUGCCCUGCACUUCGGGAUAAGCCUGGGAAACUGGGUCUAAUACCGGAUAGGACCACAUUUUGGAUGGUGUGGUGGAAAGUUUUUCGGUGUGGGAUGAGCUCGCGGCCUAUCAGCUUGUUGGUGGGGUAAUGGCCUACCAAGGCGUCGACGGGUAGCCGGCCUGAGAGGGUGUACGGCCACAUUGGGACUGAGAUACGGCCCAGACUCCUACGGGAGGCAGCAGUGGGGAAUAUUGCACAAUGGGCGCAAGCCUGAUGCAGCGACGCCGCGUGGGGGAUGACGGCCUUCGGGUUGUAAACUCCUUUCGCUAGGGACGAAGCGCAAGUGACGGUACCUGGAGAAGAAGCACCGGCUAACUACGUG